Molecule: long non-coding RNA, 223 nt
Filed under: Panax ginseng (ginseng)
Lineage: Eukaryota; Viridiplantae; Streptophyta; Magnoliopsida; Apiales; Araliaceae
Description: long non-coding RNA (PGIN_LNC014356)
Source: RNAcentral
UUCAAUUGUGUUGGAUUAUGAUUAGACCAAUUAAUUGAAUGAGCAAGACCAAGGGAUUAGUUGGUUAAUUCCAAUUCAAGGCCCAUUAUUAGAUUGGUUAAGCCCAAUGCAAGAAUAUCGAACCGUGGAUCGAACCGAUUUGUCACCGAAUGGGUAAAACCCAUGGGGAAACCCAUGGGGUGGUGGGCCGAUCACUUGGUGUGUAAGUCAAGCAAAUAACUUG